Molecule: non-coding RNA, 106 nt
Organism: Acanthosepion pharaonis
Lineage: Eukaryota; Metazoa; Mollusca; Cephalopoda; Sepiida; Sepiidae
Source: the annotation of a GenBank genome assembly
CGGCCACAUUGUUGUAACACCGGAACUCGUACGAUCACCGAAUUUAAGCAACGUCGAACCUAGUCAGUACCUUGAUGGGUGACCGCUUGAGAAUACCAGGUAUUGG